This 440-nucleotide ribosomal RNA is filed under the name uncultured bacterium. RNAcentral's name for it is "partial 16S ribosomal RNA". It matches the Rfam family "Bacterial small subunit ribosomal RNA", at positions 338 to 795 of the family's 1533-position model. The record is from RNAcentral.
CCUACGGGGAGCAGCAGUGGGGGAUAUUGCACAAUGGGGGAAACCCUGAUGCAGCGACGCCGCGUGUGGGAAGACGGUCCUCUGGAUUGUAAACCACUGUCCCCAGGGACGAAGAUGACGGUACCUGGGGAGGAAGCUCCGGCUAACUACGUGCCAGCAGCCGCGGUAUUACGUAGGGGGCGAGCGUUGUCCGGAAUUACUGGGUGUAAAGGGAGCGUAGGCGGGACUGCAAGUUGGGGGUAAAAUCUACCGGCUCAACCGGUGGCCGCACUUAAAACUGCAGUUCUUGAGUGAAGGAGAGGCAGGCGGAAUUCCUGGUGUAGCGGUGAAAUGCGUAGAUAUUAGGAGGAACACCAGUGGCGAAGGCGGCCUGCUGGGCUUUUACUGACGCUGAGGCUCGAAAGUGUGGGGAGCGAACAGGAUUAGAUACCCGAGUAGUC